This 497-nucleotide ribosomal RNA is filed under the name uncultured bacterium. RNAcentral's name for it is "partial 16S ribosomal RNA". It matches the Rfam family "Bacterial small subunit ribosomal RNA", at positions 28 to 507 of the family's 1533-position model. The record is from RNAcentral.
GAUGAACGCUGGCGGCGUGCCUAAUACAUGCAAGUCGAGCGAACAGACGAGGCGCUUGCUCCUCUGACGUUAGCGGCGGACGGGUGAGUAACACGUGGAUAACCUACCUAUAAGACUGGGAUAACUUCGGGAAACCGGAGCUAAUACCGGAUAAUAUAUUGAACCGCAUGGUUCAAUAGUGAAAGACGGUUUUGCUGUCACUUAUAGAUGGAUCCGCGCCGCAUUAGCUAGUUGGUAAGGUAACGGCUUACCAAGGCGACGAUGCGUAGCCGACCUGAGAGGGUGAUCGGCCACCCUGGAAGUGAGACACGGUCCAGACUCCUACGGGAGGCAGCAGUAGGGAAUCUUCCGCAAUGGGCGAAAGCCUGACGGAGCAACGCCGCGUGAGUGAUGAAGGUCUUCGGAUCGUAAAACUCUGUUAUUAGGGAAGAACAAAUGUGUAAGUAACUAUGCACGUCUUGACGGUACCUAAUCAGAAAGCCACGGCUAACUACGUG